CCUACGGGGGGCAGCAGUGAGGAAUAUUGGUCAAUGGGCGAGAGCCUGAACCAGCCAAGUCGCGUGAAGGAUGACGGCCCUACGGGUUGUAAACUUCUUUUGUCAGGGAGCAAUUGAGUCCACGUGUGGGCUUAGCGAGAGUACCUGAAGAAAAAGCAUCGGCUAACUCCGUGCCAGCAGCCGCGGUAAUACGGAGGAUGCGAGCGUUAUCCGGAUUUAUUGGGUUUAAAGGGUGCGCAGGCGGCGUGUCAAGCAAGCGGUAAAAUAGCGGGGCUCAACCCCGUCGAGCCGUUUGAACUGGCGCG
Molecule: ribosomal RNA, 305 nt
Filed under: uncultured bacterium
Lineage: Bacteria
Description: bacterial SSU rRNA
Rfam family: Bacterial small subunit ribosomal RNA
Source: RNAcentral